Capsicum annuum is the source of this 609-nucleotide long non-coding RNA. RefSeq lists it as uncharacterized. The record is from RefSeq and is a predicted model, not a curated record. The transcript has 2 exons. Lineage: Eukaryota; Viridiplantae; Streptophyta; Magnoliopsida; Solanales; Solanaceae.
AGGCAUCGAAGGCAGAAAAAGAUAAGCCUUCAUGCGUUGAAGCAAAAACUCUCUCUUGUCCACAACAAAUAUUUUGAUUAUUUAUUAAAAAAACAAGUAUAUUUCAAUGGAAAAAUCUAUGAAGGAACAAAGCUUAAAAUUAUCAAAUCUACCAGAACAGAACCCAAUUUCACAGAGAACCGUUCGAAACACUAAAACAAUCCAGUAACAAUGAAGAAAUUGAGGGAAGUUGUCGGUUCAAGUUCAAACAUGAAAGCUCCAAAAUCGUCAAGAAAAAGGUUGAUGAUUCUGGAUGACCACAUCUACCGAAUGUUUAGUUAUUAUUAAAAUAUGUAUUACAAGCUAUUCUAUGUAUAAGAUUUCAUAUACAUUUGUUAAGAUUAUAUAGUGAACUGUAUAAGGUGUUCAUAUACAUGUGAAACGGUAUUAGAUAAUAUUAAUUACUUGUAUAAGGUUUACACAUACAUGUGAAACUGUUGUAUGAGGUUGUCUUUUAUUUGUUUUGGCAGUAUGAUUCUAUGUAUAAGAUUUCAUUAUACAUGUACUAAUACUAUAUUAUUAAUUGUAUAAGGUUUACACAUACAUGUGAAACUAUUGUAUUAGGCUGCA